UCCAAAGACGGGGCAGAUGCCUAGGUAAUGCGUAGGGGUCGAGCUGUGUUGCGAAUUUCUGGGUGUAAAGGGCGUGUAGGCGGGGAUGUAAUUCAGAUGUGAAAUUCCACGGCUUAACUGUGGCGCUGCAUCUGAAACUAUGUCUCUUGAGUGCUGGAGAGGAAAGCGGAAUUCCAAGUGUAGCGGUGAAAUGCGUAGAUAUUUGGAGGAACACCAGUGGCGAAGGCGGCUUUCUGGACAGUAACUGACGCUGAGGCGCGAAAGCGUGGGGAGCAAACAGGAUUAGAUACCCUAGUAGUC
Molecule: ribosomal RNA, 300 nt
Filed under: uncultured Bacillus sp.
Lineage: Bacteria; Bacillati; Bacillota; Bacilli; Caryophanales; Bacillaceae
Description: bacterial SSU rRNA
Rfam family: Bacterial small subunit ribosomal RNA
Source: RNAcentral